GCGACUUAUAUUCUGUAGCAAGGUUAACCGUAUAGGGGAGCCGAAGGGAAACCGAGUCUUAACCGGGCGUUAAGUUGCAGGGUAUAGACCCGAAACCCGGUGAUCUAGCCAUGGGCAGGUUGAAGGUUGGGUAACACUAACUGGAGGACCGAACCGACUAAUGUUGAAAAAUUAGCGGAUGACUUGUGGCUGGGGGUGAAAGGCCAAUCAAACCGGGAGAUAGCUGGUUCUCCCCGAAAGCUAUUUAGGUAGCGCCUCGUGAACUCAUCUUCGGGGGUAGAGCACUGUUUCGGCUAGGGGGUCAUCCCGACUUACCAACCCGAUGCAAACUGCGAAUACCGAAGAAUGUUAUCACGGGAGACACACGGCGGGUGCUAACGUCCGUCGUGAAGAGGGAAACAACCCAGACCGCCAGCUAAGGUCCCAAAGUCACAGUUAAGUGGGAAACGAUGUGGGAAGGCUCAGACAGCCAGGAUGUUGGCUUAGAAGCAGCCAUCAUUUAAAGAAAGCGUAAUAGCUCACUGGUCGAGUCGGCCUGCGCGGAAGAUGUAACGGGGCUAAACUGUGCACCGAAGCUGCGGCAGCGACGCUUAUGCGUUGUUGGGUAGGGGAGCGUUCUGUAAGCCUGCGAAGGUGUCCUGUGAGGGAUGCUGGAGGUAUCAGAAGUGCGAAUGCUGACAUAAGUAACGAUAA
Molecule: ribosomal RNA, 693 nt
Filed under: Salmonella enterica subsp. enterica serovar Kentucky
Lineage: Bacteria; Pseudomonadati; Pseudomonadota; Gammaproteobacteria; Enterobacterales; Enterobacteriaceae
Description: partial 23S ribosomal RNA
Rfam family: Bacterial large subunit ribosomal RNA
Source: RNAcentral